CUUUGCCAACUUCCCUCUGCACAGCAUACAGAUGUCUUCCUGUUUCCCCUACAUCACAACUAUGCUGCCAUUCCUUCAUAAUUGCUGUUAAGAUGGCCAACGUCUCCACUGUAGACACAGACAGAUGCUCUGAGGUUCUCUUCUUAACUUCAUAUCUUAAGGACGGUGACUGCAAACCCAGUUCUCCCUGUCAGGGUCUUUUGAUCCGUCUGUAAAUGCUGGAAUAAAUGAUAAUGCUCCAUCAUCAGCAAAUAGAGAUCGACCAAUAUCACCCUGGACUUGAAGGAAAACAUCAUUGAUCAUGAUGGAGAACAGUAUGGGACUAAU
Pseudoliparis swirei is the source of this 327-nucleotide long non-coding RNA. RefSeq lists it as uncharacterized. NCBI's taxonomy places the organism in Eukaryota, Metazoa, Chordata, Actinopteri, Perciformes, Liparidae. The record is from RefSeq and is a predicted model, not a curated record. The transcript has 3 exons.